AGUUUGUUUUGGAGAUUUCUCUAAGACAAUGUCGCAAAGUUCGAGUAGCUUAAAUGGGUCGAUUAGGAGGUGUCGUUGUGGAUUCCUGCUAAUUAUUUCGUAGUAUGGACUCCUUUAAAUGCUGAGAGAAGAUUUUUCAAGUGCCCUAAGCAUGAGGUAUGUAAAUUUGUUGAUGGGUUCUUUUAAUUUAGGAGAAGAUUUUUCAAGUGCCCUAAGUAUGAGGUAUGUAAAUUAGUUGAUGGGUUCUUUUAACUAUUUCGAUUUGACUGUAAUUUCUUUUUCUUUUUA
This 288-nucleotide long non-coding RNA is filed under the name Nicotiana benthamiana. RNAcentral describes it as "long non-coding RNA (NBEN_LNC018804)". The record is from RNAcentral. Lineage: Eukaryota; Viridiplantae; Streptophyta; Magnoliopsida; Solanales; Solanaceae.